This 259-nucleotide ribosomal RNA is filed under the name uncultured prokaryote. RNAcentral's name for it is "partial 16S ribosomal RNA". It matches the Rfam family "Bacterial small subunit ribosomal RNA", at positions 524 to 782 of the family's 1533-position model. The record is from RNAcentral.
UACGGAGGAUCCGAGCGUUAUCCGGAUUUAUUGGGUUUAAAGGGUGCGCAGGCGGAAGAUUAAGUCGGCGGUGAAAUUUUGCAGCUCAACUGUAAAAGUGCCAUCGAUACUGGUUUUCUUGAGUGUGGAUGAAGUAGGCGGAAUUUGUGGUGUAGCGGUGAAAUGCAUAGAUAUCACGAGGAACUCCGAUUGCGCAGGCAGCUUACUAGGCCAUAACUGACGCUCAGGCACGAAGGCGUGGGGAUCAAACAGGAUUAGA